Molecule: ribosomal RNA, 231 nt
Filed under: uncultured bacterium
Lineage: Bacteria
Description: partial 16S ribosomal RNA
Rfam family: Bacterial small subunit ribosomal RNA
Source: RNAcentral
UGAGCAAUCUGCCCUUCUCAUCGGAAUAAGCGUUGGAAACGACGUCUAAUGCCGAAUACGACCUCCUUUCGCAUGAUCGGAGGUGGAAAGCUCCGGCGGAGAAGGAUGAGCUCGCGGCCUAUCAGCUAGUUGGUGUGGGUAACGGCCCACCAAGGCGACGACGGGUAGCCGGCCUGAGAGGAUGGCCAGCCACAUUGGGACUGAGACACGGCCCAGACCUCCGUAGGGAGG